AGCAGCCGCGGUAAUUCCAGCUCCAAUAGCGUAUAUUAAAGUUGUUGCAGUUAAAAAGCUCGUAGUUGAAUUUCGGGGUCAGUAGGUUGGUCGUGCCACUGGUAUGCACUGGUCUCACUGAUUCCUCCUUCCUGAUGAACCGUAAUGCCAUUAAUUUGGUGUUGCGGGGAAUCUGGACUGUUACUUUGAAAAAUUAGAGUGUUUAAAGCAGGCUAACGCUUGAAUACAUUAGCAUGGAAUAAUGAAAUAGGACGAUCGAUCCUAUUUUGUUGGUUUCUAGGAUUUGACGUAAUGAUUAAUAGGGAUAGUUGGGGGCAUUAGUAUUCAAUUGUCAGAGGUGAAAUUUCUUGGAUUUUAUUGAAGACUAACUACUGCGAAAGCAUUUGCCAAGGAUGUUUUCAUUAAUCAAGAACGAAAGUUAGGGGAUCGAAGACGAUCAGAUACCGUCGUAGUCUUAACCAUAAACUAUGCCGACUAG
This 478-nucleotide ribosomal RNA is filed under the name uncultured Glomus. RNAcentral describes it as "SSU rRNA". It matches the Rfam family "Eukaryotic small subunit ribosomal RNA", at positions 569 to 1049 of the family's 1831-position model. Lineage: Eukaryota; Fungi; Glomeromycota; Glomeromycetes; Glomerales; Glomeraceae. The record is from RNAcentral.